RNAcentral lists this long non-coding RNA (557 nucleotides) under Ananas comosus (pineapple). RNAcentral's name for it is "long non-coding RNA (ACOM_LNC020248)". Lineage: Eukaryota; Viridiplantae; Streptophyta; Magnoliopsida; Poales; Bromeliaceae. The record is from RNAcentral.
GAGAGAGAGAGAGAGUGUUGAGCUGGAAUACUAUCGGUAGCAAGCGGGCUCCGUUGCCACCCAUUUGUUUUCGAUGAUGGAGCCUCCAAAUUGAUGAUCGACACCGUUGAAUAUGAUCUAUACCACUUGAAGUAUCUAGAAAUCAAAUUUUAUGCUUUUCCGAUAUUGUUCUCUUGUUCAUCAAGUGGGCGUAAAAAUGAACGGCUGAAAAUAAAUAUCCUCUAAAAAAUGAUGAUAGGAAUUUUGUAAUCAAGAUCGAGAGUAUAGAUCUUAUUCUAAAUAGUUUAAAGAAUUUUCUAAGCAAAAUUCAAUUGAUUUGGAUAGCUUUACACCGUUAAACGAGAAAACGCCUUAUAUCUAUCAUUAAAAUUACAAAAUUUGAAACUCUUUGAUCAUUAGGUUAAUGAUGUCGAAAUGAUUUGAAAUUUGGUUUCUAGAUACUUCAAGCGGUAUAGAUCAUGUUCAACGGUGCCGAUCAUCAAUUUAAAGGUUCCAUCAUCGAAAACAAAUGGGUGGCAACGGAGUCAGUUUACUACCGAUAGCAUUCCAGCUCAACU